Long non-coding RNA from Penaeus monodon (black tiger shrimp), 237 nucleotides. RefSeq lists it as uncharacterized. The record is from RefSeq and is a predicted model, not a curated record. The transcript has 3 exons. Lineage: Eukaryota; Metazoa; Arthropoda; Malacostraca; Decapoda; Penaeidae.
UAUAAAUCUUACAGAAUCGUUUUAAUUCAUAUUAGUACCAGCAAGAUGGAAACCAAGGCUAUGUUGUUGCUACUCGUACUGAUCUGUCUGAGCGAUAUGACACGAAAAGGCAAUCCUAUAUCAAAUUGGUUGCUCGGUUGAAAAACAAGACAACAAGGCAAGACACCAGCAAAGUUGUUAUUAGUCGUGAUAUGUAUUAGAUAAUGUAUUACUGAUUAAAGAUUAUCGACCAAAUGA